This is a long non-coding RNA of Temnothorax curvispinosus, 855 nucleotides long. RefSeq lists it as uncharacterized. The transcript is spliced from 2 exons. NCBI's taxonomy places the organism in Eukaryota, Metazoa, Arthropoda, Insecta, Hymenoptera, Formicidae. The record is from RefSeq and is a predicted model, not a curated record.
UUUCACUUAGCAGCAAACGUACGAUUCAACAAGAACAUCAAAAGUUCUACGAUAAUAAAUGUUAAUCCUACCGCUACCAUCUUAAAACUUGCAAAGCACAUGCUAAAAGUAAUUCCUUUAGCUAAUAUGUGUUCCGUCGCUUAUUCACGUGUGUCAACAAUUUAUGCGAACUGUCAUGUGGAACAUAUUGAAGAGCGAUUCUACUCAUAUCCCAUUAAUCACAAAGACCUUAUCAUGUUCACACGUUACUUAAACGAAAACGUAAUUGAAGAAAAAAUAUCUAGGUAAUCCUUUGAUGCUUAAUAUAGCAAAAUAAUUACAUAUAUUAAUAAUAUAAAUUAAAAUACAUAUACAUAUAUAAAUAACAUACACAUGACGCAAAAUGUCGAGAUUUGUUCGGAGCCACAAAAGUGGCUUCCGCUGCAGGAAGCAUACGGUCAAAUAAAAGAAAUUUUUUUUCUUAAAUAUAUUGCAUUUGGAAGUUUUUGCUGAGUGUAUUUGAAGGUGUCGCUGAUUCCAAUUUUGACCUUAGAUUUACGAAAUUUCGAGUCUAAGUGCAGUAUUGACAUGAAUGAAUAUGCUCAUGACUCAUGCAGAGAACGUGGGUAUGCUUAUGUCUUUGUGGGAAAUACUUCAAUACACAUGUAUAAUGUAUAGUCAUCGGCACUGAAUGGAACAACUCAGUGUGUGUAUUAAUAGAUACAGUAUUUAUUAAAUAUCACUAACGUAUGAUCACACUCAAGAGUCACAAAAUAUUAUGUAAGUUGGCAAUUGAGUUGUAACAUCUAAAUCGGAUUUUUUACAAGUGCAUACUGUGCAUAAGUCGACAAAUAAAAUGCAGCCACUUAAAACCAA